Molecule: ribosomal RNA, 200 nt
Filed under: uncultured prokaryote
Description: partial 16S ribosomal RNA
Rfam family: Bacterial small subunit ribosomal RNA
Source: RNAcentral
GUCAAAUCAUCAUGCCCUUUAUGUCCUGGGCUACACACGUACUACAAUGGGCGGUACAGAGCGGAGCGAAGCCGCGAGGCUCGAGCGAAUCGCAAAAAGCCGCCCGUAGUCCGGAUUGAAGUCUGAAACCCGACUUCAUGAAGUUGGAAUCGCUAGUAAUCGCGCAUCAGCAUGGCGCGGUGAAUACGUUCCCGGGCCUU